This is a long non-coding RNA of Juglans microcarpa x Juglans regia, 1793 nucleotides long. RefSeq lists it as uncharacterized. The transcript is spliced from 2 exons. Lineage: Eukaryota; Viridiplantae; Streptophyta; Magnoliopsida; Fagales; Juglandaceae. The record is from RefSeq and is a predicted model, not a curated record.
AUGUUGGAGUGGAAAAAAGGAAAUCCUGUGGCAUAUUAUUUAUUUCUUUUGUUUUGAAAUAUAUGUUAUCCUUUGUGUAUGGUGUGAAACAAUGGGCCAAAAGUUUGAUAUUAAGGGUUGGAAUUAGGUGUGGGGGCAGUAGCGCACUCAAGCUUCUCCUGUUGUUUUGUUUUCUGAUUUUUAAAUGUUUUUUGGCCUAUUUGCUAUUUGGAAACUAUCUCUGCUCUUUAAUUUUUUUUGAAAGCAAAGUUAACAUCCUUUCCUCAGGUGGAUUGUGCUUUGCUCAUUUCUUGUUUGGUAUUUUUUGUCUUUCCAGUUUUACUGGGUCAGUGUUCUCAGGAUAUACUUUUUUCAAGUCUGCGGUUGUUCAUCUGCGGUUUGGAGGAAGGUCUCUAUGUUCUAUUCUUACAAGGCCCUUUUUGUGUUUUCUUAUCUUCUCUUGGUUUCUUUUUGCAUAAUUCUUUCGUUUUUAUUAUCUGUUUGGAGGUCAAGUGGAGAGCAAAUCUUGAGUGCCCUUUUUACUAAGGUUCUUCGUCUAAGGUCAGGAGAGGAUCUCUGUGUGUUUUUUUUAAAUUUUUUUUCAACUCUUUGCUUGUGUGCGCUUUUUUCUCUACAGUUUUGGGCCUUAUUUUAUGUUCUCUCUGAUCUAGUAUUCUUUGUAGUGGUUGCCAUGUGCUUGUUUUGUCUAGAGAAGUUGAAAAUAGGGGAUUGACCGAGCUGAGUAAAUAGGACUGCAGGAGAUGAGAUGAUUUGUUUCUUUCUCUUCAUAUGGUUCGAGCUUCAGUUUGGAGGAAGCCUGACGGAUAUUUUUGCCAGGCUGCUCAUAUGCGGUUUGGGGGAAGUAUUCUCUGUUGUGGUUUCCAUGUGCUUGUUUUGUCUGGAGAAGUUGAACAUUGGGGAUUUACCGAGCUGAGUAAAUAGUACUGCAGGAAAUGAGAUUAUAUGUUUAUUUCACUUCAUAUGGUUUGUGCUUCAGUCUAGAGGAAACGUGACAGUUCUUUUUGCAAGGUUGUUCAUCUGCGGUUUGGACGAAGGUCUCUAUGUUCUAUUCUUAUCUUCUCUUGGGUUCUUUUUGCCUAAUUCUUUCAUUUUUUAUUAUCUAUUUGGAGGUCAAGUGGAGAGCAAAUUUUGAGUGUUUUUUUAACUAAGGUUCCCCGUCUAUGGUCGGGGGACGAUCUCUGUGUGUCUGUUUUUUGUUUAAUUUUUUUUUUUUCAACUCUUUGCUUGUGUGUGCUUUUUUCUCUUCAGUUUUGGGCCUUAUUUUAUGUUCUCUCUGAUCUAGUAUUCUCUGUAGUAGUUGCCAUCUGCUUGUUUUGUCUGGAGAAGAAAAUAGGGGAUUGACUGAGCUGAGUAAAUAGGACUGCAGGAGAUGAGAUGAUAUGUUUCCUUCUAUUCAUAUGAUUCGAGCUUCAAUCUAGAGCAAAUAUGAUGAUUCUCUUUGCAAAGGUUUUCAUCUGCUGUAAUGAAGGGUAAAUGCAGGUAAUAGUUAUUACUGUGCUUUAUUGAUACUUUCAUUAAAUCGAAUACGAUUAUUACUGACAGAAAAGAUUGUCUACAAUCAAUGUCCGCAAAAAUUUGUUCCAGAGUUGGAGUUUCUUAUUAUGAUUUCAGCAUCCGCCAACUUCAUCUGCUUGAAGUUUGAGAAGGUGGUAGUGCAGAAUUCCCCUUGAUUGAUAUAUGGAUGAAUUUUAAGUUGCUUUGUUAGGAAUGGAUUCUAUUUCUUUCAGUCCCAAAUCAGAUACAUAUGCUGUAGUUUGAUCUACAUAUGUUAAGUCUCUGUUUAUUGUGUCCAA